This is a long non-coding RNA of Hippocampus comes (tiger tail seahorse), 325 nucleotides long. RefSeq lists it as uncharacterized. The record is from RefSeq and is a predicted model, not a curated record. The transcript is spliced from 2 exons. Lineage: Eukaryota; Metazoa; Chordata; Actinopteri; Syngnathiformes; Syngnathidae.
ACACACACACACACACACACACACACACACACACACACACACAGUCUUUCGGUUGGUUGUUUUGGGGUUACUCUCGUCAAUUUGUUCUUCAGUGGGGAAAAUAAAUGCAAUUGUAGGUCUGGAGAUUGACCAGUCUAAAUGUUUCCACUUCUCUCAGAUGAUGAAUUCCUUUGUUGUAUUUCGGGGUUAUUAUCUUGAUGCAAAGUGAAGGAUCUUCAAAUCACUUUGGUUACGCUCUUAAAUUGGUCGACAAAAUGUUUCUGGAGACCUUUUAACACAUUUUGCUGUUGCCAUCAUUGAAUAAAUCAUUCAUGUUGUUUAAUGA